UACGUAGGGUGCAAGCGUUAAUCGGCAUUACUGGGCGUAAAGCGUGCGCAGGCGGCUUUGCAAGACAGAUGUGAAAUCCCCGGGCUCAACCUGGGAACUGCAUUUGUGACUGCAAGGCUAGAGUACGGUAGAGGGGGAUGGAAUUCCGCGUGUAGCAGUGAAAUGCGUAGAUAUGCGGAGGAACACCGAUGGCGAAGGCAAUCCCCUGGACCUGUACUGACGCUCAUGCACGAAAGCGUGGGGAGCAAACAGG
Molecule: ribosomal RNA, 253 nt
Filed under: uncultured bacterium
Lineage: Bacteria
Description: partial 16S ribosomal RNA
Rfam family: Bacterial small subunit ribosomal RNA
Source: RNAcentral